CUGAGGCACGAUCUUCGCCACGCAGCGAGGCAGGGGCGCGGGUCAAGAGCCGGUUGGGCCUCGCUGGGACCCAGGCGUCCAACCAGCUCUGCCUCCUCUGGUAGCUACCCAGCCUCCCGCUGGGCACCCUAGCUGCGAGAUGGCGUCUUACUGUCCAUCAUUGCCUAGGGUGGUCUCCAAUUCCUGUGUUCAAGUCAUCCUCCUGCCUCGGCCUCCCAGAGUGCUGGGAUCACAGGUAUGAGCCACAGUGCCCAGCCAGUGUGAUGUUUUGUCUUAAAAUUAUUCAUGGGAAGGGGGGAAAAAAAACUCUUCAUGGUUUCCCUAUUACCCUAGGGAUAAUGUCCAACCCCUUCACAAGAAUCUCGCUCCCUGUGACUUGACCCUUGCCAUGUAGUCACAUCCCCCUUAACACUAUACCCUUCAGCCAACUUCUUUUUUUUUUUUUUUUGGAUGAAGUUUCACUCGUUACCCAGGCUGGAGUGCAAUGGCACUACCUUGGCUCACCAUAACCUCCGCCUCCUGGGUUCAGGCAAUUCUCCUGCCUCAGCCUCCUGAGUAGCUGGGAUUACAGGCAUGCACCACCAUGCCCAGCUAAUUUUUUGUAUUUUUAAUAGAGACGGGGUUUCACCAUGUUGACCAGGAUGGUCUCGAUCUCUUGACCUUGUGAUCCACACGCCUUGGCCUCCCAAAGUGUUGGGAUUACAGGCGUGAGCCACUGCCCGGCCCAGCCAACUUCUUUCAAGCAGUGAGGCUUUGUAUAUUCUGGUCCAGGACCUGAUGAAAACGUGCUAAUUUUUCCAGCCUGAGCACAAUGGCAGUCAGCAACCCUGCUACUCACAAGCUGAUAUGCUCCUCCCACCAGGAUCCCAAAGCCAGAACUUUCCUCUAUCACAGCAUUUAUCAUUUUCUUUUCUUUUUUUUUUUUGAGACAGUCUUGCUCUGUCCUAGGCUGGAAUGCAGUGGCAUGAUCUCAGCUCACUACAAGCUCCGCUUCCCAGGUUCAAUCAAUUCUGCUGCCUCAACUUCCAGAGUAGCUGGGACUACAGGCACGCACUACCACGCCUAGCUAAUUUUUGUAUUUUUAAUAGACAUGGGGUUUCACGGCUGGGUGCGGUGGCUCAUGCCUAUAAUCCCAGCACUUCGGGAGGCCGAAGUGGGUGGAUCACAGGGUCAACAGAUUGAGACCAUCCUGGUCAACAAGGUAAAACCCCGUCUCUACUAAAAAUACAAAAAUUAGCUGGGCAUGGUGAUGCGCGCCUGUAGUCCCAACUACUCGGGAGGCUGAGGCAGGAGAAUUGCUUGAACCCAGGAGGAGGCAGAGGUUGCGGUGAGCCGAGAUCAUGCCAUUGCACUCUAGUCUGGGUAACAACAGCAAAAUCCGUCUCAAAAAAAAAAAAAGGAGAUAAGAGUUUCACCGUGUUGGCCAGGAUGGUCUGACAACAGCAAAACUCUGUCUCAAAAAAAAAAAAAAAAAAGAGAUAGGGUUUCACCGUGUUGGCCAGGAUGGUCUGGAUCUCUUGACCUCGUCAUCUGCCCACCUCGGCCUCCCAAAGUGCUGGGAUUAUAGGCGUGAGCCACCAUGCCUGGCCACAUUUAUCACUUUCUAUCACUGUCUGCUUCCUUGUCUUGUCUUCCUUACCUGAUCUUGUAUUCUGUGAAAGCAGGGGCCACUGGAUUUCAGUUGUUUUUGUAAUCUAUUGUCUAGCAAUGAGCUUGGCACUCAUCAGACAUUCAAUGUUUUUGAAUAAAUGAAUGAGUACCCUCAGUCCCUGAAGACUCUUUAAGCAUGCAACAGUACUACUCUGCCGGUGCAGAAAAGACCCCCCCAAACACCUGCCUUGAAUGCACAGCCCCACACUUAGCAGGAAGGGGACUUCGCUUCCCAGUGAGCAGUUCAGUGGACAUGUGGUUUAAUUCUUCCACCCUAUCCCACAGUUUCUCUUGAAGAAAAAAGAUAGUUUCACUUUACACGAAAUUCACUCUUGUUCAGAGGCAUCAUGCUGACAGGACUGGAUCCAAGGAAAACACUAGUGACUUUCCCAACUUCAUUCCACAAUCAAAGAGGACAGUUUCUGGUUUGCCAUGGUGAGUUUAUUACAUGACUAAAGUUCAAAUAAAAAAAUAAAAACCAAAAUCUUGGCAGGCAAGCUAGAGCAAGAAUCAGGAAAUGUUGCUUCCUUGUCCCCAGACUCCCUGACCAAGCCCAGAUCCACUAACUCAAUUUGACUCGAUCAAGUUCCUCAUCAAGACUUGCAUCUGUACUCUGGACAUCUCUGCUACUCCCACUGGAGACCGAGUGUGGAUCCCCUGGUGCUGGGGCUUUGGUGAGGGCUCCAUAUACACCCAUGGCCUGAGGAGAGGGACAGAGAGUACCAUGAGGACAUUUGACAGAGGUGCAGCCCAGCCUAUUGAUGGCUAAAAGGGAAAAGAUGGCAUGGGGGCCAGUGAGUUGGUUUUCCUUCCUCCCUCUCUCAAUCCUGUCUUGUAAGCUCUGGAGUUGAUUUUAGGAAUCUUUUUUUUUUUUUGAGACGGAGUUUCACUCUUGUUACCCAGGCUGGAGUGCAAUGGCGCGAUCUCGGCUCACCGCAACCUCCACCUCCUGGGUUCAGGCAAUUCUCCUGCCUCAGCCUCCUGAGUAGCUGGGAUUACAGGCACAUGCCACCAUGCCCAGCUAAUUUUUUGUAUUUUUAGUAGAGAUGGGGUUUCACCAUGUUCACCAGGAUGGUCUCAAUCUUUUGACCUCGUGAUCCACCUGCCUCAGCCUCCCAAAGUGCUAGGAUUACAGGCUUGAGCCACCACGCCCGGCUGAUUUUAGGAAUCUUACAAACCAUCGGAGUAAGGUAACUCUCAGAAUACCAACACAGGUAUCUGCCAAAAAAAGAAAUCUCAAGAAUUUCUAUAUUUGCAGGACUGAGUAGAGAUGUUUCAUUCUUAGAUUCCAUCUCUACAAAGAAUGAAGGGAGGUGUAGGGCCAAAGGCACUCUGAAGACCUUUAUGGUAUGUAAGUGUUUUUUUUUGAGACAGAGUUUCGCUCAUGUUACCCAGACUGGAGUGCGAUGGCACAAUCUUGGUUCACCGCAACCUCCGCCUCCUGGGUUCAAGCAAUUCCCCUGCCUCAGCCUCCUGAGUAGCUAGAACUACAGGCAUGUGCCACCAUACCCAGCUAAUUUUUGUAUUUUUAGUAGAGAUGGGGUUUCACCAUGUUGACCAGGAUGGUCUCAAUCUCUUGACCUCGUGAUCCACCUGCCUCGGCCUCCCAAAGUGCUGGAAUUAUAGGCGUGAGCCACCACGCCCUGCCUGGUAUGUAAGUGUUGAUGACGGUGGUGGGGUCUCAGUUUAGGCCCUGGCACUGGUACUCUGUGCUGGGUCCUCAGAGAGGUCUAACCUGAGCCACCAUGCUUGUGACAUCGCCAGGGUUGGAGGGCAGUAGGAUAGUGUUGGAGUCCUUGGCCAGUUUGGAGAAUGCGCUGACAUACUGCUCCGCCACAGUCAGUGAAGCUGCUGCAUCUCCAUUCUGUGACCACAGGGGUUUAAAAUCAGACAUGGAGAAGGGGUGGACGGGGAAUGAAGAAAGCAGUUCACAAUAAAAAGGACCAUGUAAUCUGGCUCAACAGAGCUCACAGAGGCAGGAACUCUCAUCAGGGGUAGAUAAGAGAACCCCUUCCACUGUGAAUGCCUGUCCCCCAUUCCCACCCAGGGGCCUCUCACAUGUUGUGUCAGAGCUGCAGCCAAGAUUCGAAUAGCUUCAGCUUUAGCCUUCGCCUUGGCCAGAACUGCACUGGCUUCUCCUGCAAGAAAAGGGACAGAGCUUGCUUGACCCAUCAAGUCAAGAGUACCCCAAAGCUCCUGCCCCAGAACCAAUCUUCAAAGGACCAUACCUUGCUCCUCCCUGAGCCUCUACCCUCUCCUGACCUGCUGCUUGAUUUAUCUGUUCAGCCUUUUCUGCUUCAGAGGCCAGGAUCUGGGCCUGUUUCUUCCCCUCUGCCACGUUGAUGGCCGACUCUCGGGUCCCCUCAGACUCUAGAACUGUGGCCCGUUUCCGCCGUUCUGCCUCCACCUGGAAGCCAACCACAACCCCAAUCAACAAGCCAAGGGAAACCCACACAGACCUGCAACUCUACCCAUCACGACAGGAGGGGAGUCUGGAUCCUCCUGGGACUGGAGCACCCUGAGGUCCUUUUCUCACCCCCGCUUGGCCCCUACCUGCAUCUGCAUAGACUCUUUCACCCGGGGUGGCACAUGGAUAUCCUUGAUCUCAUAACGAAGGCAGCGGAUACCCCAGCAGUCAGCAGCCUGGUUGAUGGCAUCCACAAUGCUCGCAUUCAGGGACUCCCGUUCCUGGAGAAAGAAAAGAAUAAGCCCCACAGCCUCAACCUACCUAUCAAGGGCCUAAACUGAGACGGGCCUGGGACUGAUCUUGACCUUUAGAAAGGAUUGGGAGUGUCAGGUUUGUGCCUUCAAACCCUAACUCUGGCUGAGAUCUGCUUACCCGGAAGACUUUGUCCAGAGAGAGUUUGCCGAGCUCUGAUCUCAUGGUUGUCUGAGCUAGCUGGGUGACAGCAUACUCGGGGUCCUCCACACCAUAGCUUGCCUGAAACGGGCAUGGACAGUGUAAGAAGCUUGGGCGCAAGAUUUCAGUGAAGAGGGCAACCGAAAAGGCUGGAUAAAGUAGGGGGCAGAUACCUUGUAAGGGUCCAUGAUGCGCAGGUAAAGGACUCCAUCGAUUUGCAGAGUUACAUUGUCUGUAGAACCAGGAGAGAAAUGGAGGAAAGUCAGGCCUCUAAGUCCCAACCAGUUCUUUCUCCUACACUCUGGAUCUACAGCAACCACAUCCUAACAGUCUCAGAGCACCCAUGUCACCCUGAACCCCUCACCGAGAGUCACAGCCGACUGCUCAGGCACGUUGAUGACAAUUUCCUUGAGACUCUGCACAUAUCGGAUCCGGUCUAACACAGGGAUGAGGAUGUUCAAACCCUGGGAAGAGGAGUCAUGGGUCCUCAGAAGGAUGGGAACUAUGGGAUUGGGACCUAAGCGAGUCCUGAAGUAUGUAGGGAGUCAACACGUGGAACAUGCCCAGAAAAGCAGCAGCCCCCACCAAGAAAUAAGUCCUCAGAAGACUGAGGUGUUACUGGUAAGAAAACCCAAGAGAAGAGGAAUGCAAGACUAGGCCCCUGAAUGGAGGGGAGAGUUAUGAGAAUUGGAGCCAGUAGAAUAGCCAUCUCUAUGGAUACUAAGUGGUAGGGCAGGGGAGAUUCCCAAGAAUGGGACCUGUGAGAUGCAUAGGAAAAGGUGAUAACAUGGGGCUGAUGGUCAGUAGCCUGGGCCUUUCAAGUCUGGCCUGCAGAGUUGGGAGCUAACAAUGCGGGCAGGCCCAAAGGAGGUCCUCCCAACACUCCAUGUCGUGAGGUAUUGGUCAUCUGGUUGGCCCAGGGUGGGCAGAAGAGGUUCUCACAGGCUCCAGGAUCCGAUGGAAUCGGCCCAUUCGCUCCACCACCCAGGCCUCCUGCUGUGGCACAAACAGUACCACGGUGUUUCGGGGCAAUCCAGAGGAGGCGCGGCGCGGAGCGCGGCCGGAAGCCUGUAGAGAGCCCUGCAGGAAAGAAGUCGGUGAGCAGGGAUCCCGUCUGGCCAGACACCCCGCCCCUUGGUCCUGAAGGCACAUCCAUAAACCACGACCCUCAGGAUCCUCGGAGAGAGAAUCACAUGGGGACCAUGACCUCUGACCCCAGUCCUCUCUCAACGUUGUAAUUUCGCUCUUUCCCAGCGGAAGACCCAAGUGUUCUCUGUCCCGACCCUCUGGAAAGGUUGCCUUGCUCUCACCCUCAGCAAAAGGGCCCCAGUGCCCCGCGCCGCGCGCGCCAGCAUUUCCCACCGCCUCAGUGACCUCCGGAACCAACGAGACGUGGAGCAGAGCGGUCGCUCCCAGAAGCCAACCCGAGCAGUUUCGCUCCCCGGAUGUACCUCCGGCCGUUCCCUCCCUCUUUCGACACUCACCCAAUCAGGGUUACUUGGUCUAACGCGCCUCAAGUUGUUCCCUGGGAAACGCAAAGCUUCCAGAGAAGGCCGAGGGCUGCGGUUGUUUUGGGUUUAGCUAUUCGCGGCCAAGAUCCACGGCCUGGUGGCCAAAAUGGAGGCUAUUUUCCGCGUGCAUAUCACUCACAGACACCACGCGCUGAAUUCUUCACCCUCACCUGAGACUCAGUUUGCCCUCCAGAACAUAGAAUCGCCCCGUCUGUCACUAUAGCGACCAGUGGAUUGGAGCUGACUCGUUGCCAUGGUUGCCAUAGUGACAUUUUCUGGUAGUCCCGCUGUGCUGUGCCUUAGCCCUCCUACUGGGGACUGACCCCAAUCUUGCUGCCAUGGAAACUGGGCCUAACAUUGCCUGGCGAUUGGGUCGAGAUUUUCCCCUCCCAACUUUUUUCAAGACACUCCGUCUUCCCAAGCAAGGUCCAUCAUGCCUAGUCUUACACAGAGUCCAGCAAACAGCCUGAGCGUUCAACCUUGUCUGGAGCAUGUCACCGUGCACACAUCCCUAAUGCUCUGGUAGUCAAGAGACCUCCGUAGUCACCUCCAUUUUACAUAUAAGGGCACUGACGCUCUGAGGGGCUACAGUCAUGAACAGAACCAGUAUUAGAAUCCUGAUCUUCAAUUCAGAGUUUGGUGUCUACGGCUGAACUUCACCCACCAACCCCUCCGAAAAGAGCCAGACCAGGCCCCAAGAAUCAGCAGGGACUAGCCUAAGACCUUAUGGGCCCAGGCCUGUUGCCUCCUCUCUGGUAGGAAAGUCAGAGUCCCAACUCCAAGCAGGCUUCCAUCACCCUUAACACCCUCUCCCCAACAACAACAACAAAAGUAGAGCUUAGUUCAAGUUUCCAAACAAGAAUUUAUUCUUUCUUUUUUAAUCUUUUUUUUUUUUUUUUCCUAAAAAAAAGUACCAGGUACAAUGUUUUCCUGUUUUUGUUGUUUUUUCAAGUUUCAGCAAAUGCUUGUUCCCCUCAGCCCGGCCCCAGGAGUCAGGACUGAGGCUGGGUCAGAGUCUGGAGUGGGGAAUGGGGUAGUUGGGAACCACAUGACUGAGUUUGAGGAGUGCCCCUCACCCCAGCUGAGGUAGGUGGGUCAGAGUCUGGCCAGGUGAGAGGAGGCACCCCAGUCCUUGGCCCUGACUCUGCCCCCUGGACACCUUCUUCAGUCAGGACCCCAAAGCAAGGAGACACAGGAAGGGAGGGACAACUGGAGUCUGGAGCCCUAGGUGAGGGGUGGUUAACCCCUGUGUGUGUGUGCAUACAUGCACACUCCCUCUCACACACACAUACCACACAAAGACAAGCUUGUGCGCACACACACAUACGCAUAACUUGG
This is a non-coding RNA of Callithrix jacchus (white-tufted-ear marmoset), 7359 nucleotides long. NCBI's taxonomy places the organism in Eukaryota, Metazoa, Chordata, Mammalia, Primates, Cebidae. The record is from RefSeq and is a predicted model, not a curated record.